This 210-nucleotide ribosomal RNA is filed under the name uncultured bacterium. Its description in RNAcentral is "partial 16S ribosomal RNA". It matches the Rfam family "Bacterial small subunit ribosomal RNA", at positions 568 to 775 of the family's 1533-position model. The record is from RNAcentral.
UGCGUAGGCGGCGCGGUAAGUCGGGUGUGAAAUCUCGGAGCUUAACUCCGAAACUGCAUUCGAUACUGCCGUGCUUGAGGACUGGAGAGGAGACUGGAAUUUACGGUGUAGCGGUGAAAUGCGUAGAUAUCGUAAGGAAGACCAGUGGCGAAGGCGGGUCUCUGGACAGUUCCUGACGCUGAGGCACGAAGGGUCAGGGAAGGCAAAACG